GAAAAUACCAAGCCUGCUUGGUUGAUUAGUGGCGAACGGGUGAGUAACACGUGAGUAACCUGCCCCUUACUUUCCUGGAUAACUGCUCGAAAGGGUAGCUAAUACGGGAUAUUCUGACCAGCCUGCAUGGGUUGGUUUGGAAAGGUUGUUUUUCUGGUAAGGGAUGGGCUCGCGGCCUAUCAGCUUGUUGGUGGGGUGAUGGCCUACCAAGGCUUUGACGGGUAGCCGGCCUGAGAGGGUGGACGGUCACACUGGGACUGAGAUACGGCCCAGACUCCUACGGGAGGCAGCAGUGGGGAAUAUUGCACAAUGGGCGCAAGCCUGAUGCGGCGACGCCGCGUGAGGGAUGAAGGCCUUCGGGUUGUAAACCUCUUUCGUCAGGGAACAAGGCACUGCUUUGGUGGUGUUGAGGGUACCUGGAUAAGAAGCGCCGGCUAACUACGUGCCAGCAGCCGCGGUAAUACGUAGGGCGCAAGCGUUGUCCGGAAUUAUUGGGCGUAAAGAGCUCGUAGGCGGCUGGUCGCGUCUGUCGUGAAAACUUCCGGCUCAACCGGGGGCUUGCGGUGGGUACGGGCCGGCUAGAGUGCGGUAGGGGUAACUGGAACUCCUGGUGUAGCGGUGGAAUGCGCAGAUAUCAGGAAGAACACCGAUGGCGAAGGCAGGUUACUAGGCCGUUACUGACGCUGAGGAGCGAAAGCGUGGGGAGCGAACAGGAUUAGAUACCCUGGUAGUCCACGCCGUAAACGUUGGGCACUAGGUGUGAGGCUCCUUUCCGGGGGGUUUUGCGCCGUA
Molecule: ribosomal RNA, 792 nt
Filed under: uncultured Actinomyces sp.
Lineage: Bacteria; Bacillati; Actinomycetota; Actinomycetes; Actinomycetales; Actinomycetaceae
Description: bacterial SSU rRNA
Rfam family: Bacterial small subunit ribosomal RNA
Source: RNAcentral